This 502-nucleotide ribosomal RNA is filed under the name uncultured Glomus. RNAcentral describes it as "SSU rRNA". It matches the Rfam family "Eukaryotic small subunit ribosomal RNA", at positions 569 to 1074 of the family's 1831-position model. Lineage: Eukaryota; Fungi; Glomeromycota; Glomeromycetes; Glomerales; Glomeraceae. The record is from RNAcentral.
AGCAGCCGCGGUAAUUCCAGCUCCAAUAGCGUAUAUUAAAGUUGUUGCAGUUAAAAAGCUCGUAGUUGAAUUUCGGGAUCAAUAUGUUGGUCGUGCCUUGGUACGUACUGGCAUUAUCGAUUCCUACCUCCUGAAGAACCUCGAUGUCAUUAAUUUGGUGUCUUGGGGAAUCAGGACUGUUACUUUGAAAAAAUUAGAGUGUUUAAAGCAGGCUCGCGCUUGAAUACAUUAGCAUGGAAUAAUGAAAUAGGACGUUUGAUUCUAUUUUGUUGGUUUCUAGGAUCGACGUAAUGAUUAAUAGGGAUAGUUGGGGGCAUUAGUAUUCAAUUGUCAGAGGUGAAAUUCUUGGAUUUAUUGAAGACUAACUACUGCGAAAGCAUUUGCCAAGGAUGUUUUCAUUAAUCAAGAACGAAAGUUAGGGGAUCGAAGACGAUCAGAUACCGUCGUAGUCUUAACCAUAAGCUAUGCCGACUAGGGAUCGGAUGAUGUUAAUUUUUAAUGA